RNAcentral lists this ribosomal RNA (397 nucleotides) under unidentified microorganism. RNAcentral describes it as "bacterial SSU rRNA". It matches the Rfam family "Bacterial small subunit ribosomal RNA", at positions 1100 to 1498 of the family's 1533-position model. The record is from RNAcentral.
AACCCUUAUUGUCAGUUGCCAUCAUUCAGUUGGGCACUCUAGCGAGACUGCCGGUAAUAAACCGGAGGAAGGUGGGGAUGACGUCAAAUCAUCAUGCCCCUUAUGACCUGGGCUACACACGUGCUACAAUGGUUGGUACAACGAGUCGCAAGUCGGUGACGGCAAGCAAAUCUCUUAAAGCCAAUCUCAGUUCGGAUUGUAGGCUGCAACUCGCCUACAUGAAGUCGGAAUCGCUAGUAAUCGCGGAUCAGCACGCCGCGGUGAAUACGUUCCCGGGCCUUGUACACACCGCCCGUCNCACCACGAAAGUUUGUAACACCCGAAGUCGGUGAGGUAACCGUAAGGAGCCAGCCGCCUAACGUGGGAUAAAUGAUUGGGGUGAANUCGUAACAAGGUA